GUUGAGGAGGUGAUGAUUCAAAUAUGCAUAGUUCAACUGAACAGCCCCCAAGGCUUCUGUUGAUAACAUUCCAUCAAAGUCUUUCGCUCCUAUCUGAUUCUCAAC
Molecule: small nucleolar RNA, 105 nt
Organism: Phytophthora sojae
Lineage: Eukaryota; Oomycota; Peronosporomycetes; Peronosporales; Peronosporaceae
Rfam family: Small nucleolar RNA snR60/Z15/Z230/Z193/J17
About the family: The members of this family belong to the C/D class of snoRNAs which contain the C (UGAUGA) and D (CUGA) box motifs. Most of the members of the box C/D family function in directing site-specific 2'-O-methylation of substrate RNAs.
Source: Rfam